UUAAUGAAUAUAUUUUUUUUUGUCUGCAAUGGCAAAUAAAUGAAAGAACUUUUAACUCCGUAUAUGCAAAUGGAAUUAAUAUGAAUGCCUAUGUAACUAACCUGAUUAAUUUACCUUCUAUGUUUCCCUAAAUUCCUGUUUAAUCCUCUAUCUACAAAAAAUAUGAAAUGUGUCCUUUUUUUUGGGGGGGUAUCACAUGAGAAAACUCAAGACUUCCCUGAAGGCAGCUGACAGAGUCCUUUGUCUGGGCAAAAGCUGCUCGAUCAGGCACCCAUUGCGACCAACCUUUCUAGGAAAAUGGGUGUCAAAUAAUCCACAACCCCAGCCAGUCGUCAAUUCAUAGUCCCUAUCUUUGCGAUGCAGCCCCAAGACUUGAUUUUACUCUCAUGUUAAAUUUCAGGCUGCUCAAUUGCUCAUGGGACUUGUUACAUACACAACCAGGAAAAGGAUUUGCAUAAAAGUUCUCUUCCAGCCUCGGUGAUUCUCCCGCUUGCCUAAGAUAUGGAGAUCCAACCCUUUUGGAAUGUAUACUCUUAACCUUUGAAGAGAAUUCUUCCCAAGAUAUUGAACCCUCAUCCAACUGAUCAAUCAGCGUAACAAAAUUUUGUCUGUCUGGAUUGAUAGUCUUCCGAAAUCCUUCAAACCUCCUAUGUCCCUGCACUGCUUUGGCCAUAUUUCCAUCAUAUGUAUAA
This 692-nucleotide unclassified non-coding RNA is filed under the name Hevea brasiliensis (rubber tree). The record is from RNAcentral. Lineage: Eukaryota; Viridiplantae; Streptophyta; Magnoliopsida; Malpighiales; Euphorbiaceae.